GGGGCCUUAGCCCAGCUGGGAGAGCGCCUGCUUUGCACGCAGGAGGUCAGCGGUUCGAUCCCGCUAGGCUCCACCA
This 76-nucleotide transfer RNA is filed under the name Pallidibacillus pasinlerensis. Its description in RNAcentral is "tRNA-Ala". It matches the Rfam family "tRNA". From Rfam's summary of the family: Transfer RNA (tRNA) molecules are approximately 80 nucleotides in length. Their secondary structure includes four short double-helical elements and three loops (D, anti-codon, and T loops). Lineage: Bacteria; Bacillati; Bacillota; Bacilli; Caryophanales; Bacillaceae. The record is from RNAcentral.